AUUGAACGCUGGCGGCAUGCCUUACACAUGCAAGUCGAACGGCAGCACGGGAGCAAUCCUGGUGGCGAGUGGCGAACGGGUGAGUAAUAUAUCGGAACGUGCCCAGUCGUGGGGGAUAACGCAGCGAAAGCUGUGCUAAUACCGCAUACGAUUUACGGAUGAAAGCGGGGGAUCGCAAGACCUCGCGCGAUUGGAGCGGCCGAUAUCAGAUUAGCUAGUUGGGGGGGUAAAGGCCCACCAAGGCGACGAUCUGUAGCUGGUCUGAGAGGACGACCAGCCACACUGGAACUGAGACACGGUCCAGACUCCUACGGGAGGCAGCAGUGGGGAAUUUUGGACAAUGGGCGAAAGCCUGAUCCAGCAAUGCCGCGUGCAGGACGAAGGCCUUCGGGUUGUAAACUGCUUUUGUACGGAACGAAACGGUCUCUUCUAAUAAAGGGGGCUAAUGACGGUACCGUAAGAAUAAGCACCGGCUAACUACGUGCCAGCCGCCGCGGUAA
This 500-nucleotide ribosomal RNA is filed under the name uncultured bacterium. Its description in RNAcentral is "partial 16S ribosomal RNA". It matches the Rfam family "Bacterial small subunit ribosomal RNA", at positions 30 to 523 of the family's 1533-position model. The record is from RNAcentral.